This 300-nucleotide ribosomal RNA is filed under the name uncultured Alphaproteobacteria bacterium. RNAcentral's name for it is "bacterial SSU rRNA". It matches the Rfam family "Bacterial small subunit ribosomal RNA", at positions 115 to 433 of the family's 1533-position model. Lineage: Bacteria; Pseudomonadati; Pseudomonadota; Alphaproteobacteria. The record is from RNAcentral.
ACGUGGGAAUCUGCCCUUCUCUGCGGGACAACAGUUGGAAACGACUGCUAAUACCGCAUACGCCCUUCGGGGAAAGGUCCGCCGGAGAAGGAGGAGCCCGCGUCUGAUUAGCUUGUUGGUGGGGUAAUGGCCUACCAAGGCGACGAUCAGUAGCUGGUCUGAGAGGAUGAUCAGCCACACUGGGACUGAGACACGGCCCAGACUCCUACGGGAGGCAGCAGUGGGGAAUAUUGGACAAUGGAGGAAACUCUGAUCCAGCAAUGCCGCGUGUGUGAUGAAGGCCCUAGGGUUGUAAAGCAC